GCGCGAAAACUUUACAAUGCUGGCAACAGCGAUAAGGGAACCUCGAGUGCCAGGUUACAAAUCUGGCUGUCGAGAUGCCUAAAAAGCAUUUCAUAGCACGGGCCGGGCAAGACCGGUGCCAGCCGCCGCGGUAACACCGGCGGCUCGAGUGGUCACCGUUAUUAUUGGGUCUAAAGGGUCUGUAGCCGGCCGGAUAAGUCUCUUGAGAAAUCUGGCAGCUUAACUGUCAGGCUUUCAGGAGAUACUGUCUGGCUCGAGGCCGGGAGAGGUGAGAGGAACUUCAGGGGUAGGGGUGAAAUCUGGUAAUCCUGGAAGGACCACCAGUGGCGAAGGCGUCUCACCAGAACGGACCUGACGGCAAGGGACGAAAGCUAGGGGCACGAACC
RNAcentral lists this ribosomal RNA (386 nucleotides) under uncultured prokaryote. RNAcentral describes it as "bacterial SSU rRNA". It matches the Rfam family "Archaeal small subunit ribosomal RNA", at positions 339 to 725 of the family's 1478-position model. The record is from RNAcentral.